Molecule: ribosomal RNA, 29 nt
Filed under: Alternaria sp. MY-2011
Lineage: Eukaryota; Fungi; Ascomycota; Dothideomycetes; Pleosporales; Pleosporaceae
Description: partial 28S large subunit ribosomal RNA
Source: RNAcentral
UUGACCUCGGAUCAGGUAAGGAACCAAGC